Molecule: ribosomal RNA, 1038 nt
Filed under: uncultured archaeon
Lineage: Archaea
Description: bacterial SSU rRNA
Rfam family: Archaeal small subunit ribosomal RNA
Source: RNAcentral
CCCGGAGAUGGGCACUGAGACAAGGGCCCAGGCCCUACGGGGCGCACCAGGCGAGAAACUUAGCAAUGCGGGAAACCGUGACUGGGCCAUCCCGAGUGCCAGCCGCUAAGGUUGGCUUUUCCCCAGAGCAAGCACCUGGGGGAAUAAGCGGGGGGCAAGACUGGUGUCAGCCGCCGCGGUAAUACCAGCUCCGCGAGUGGUCGGGACGAUUAUUGAGCCUAAAGCGCCCGUAGCCUGCCCCUGCGUGUUUCGUGUUAAAUCCAACGGCUUAACCGUUGGGCCGCAUGGAAUACUGCAGGGCUGGGGAGCGGAAGAGGCCAGGGGUACUCCCGGGGUAGGGGCGAAAUCCUAUAAUCCCGGGAGGACGACCAGUGGCGAAGGCGCCUGGCUAGGACGCGUCCGACGGUGAGGGGCGAAAGCUGGGGGAGCGAACCGGAUUAGAUACCCGGGUAGUCCCAGCUGUAAACGAUGCGGACUGGGUGUUGGCAUGGCUUCGCGCCGUGCCAGUGCCUCAGGGAAGCCGUUAAGUCCGCCGCUUGGGGAGUACGGUCGCAAGACUGAAACUUAAAGGAAUUGGCGGGGGAGCACCACAAGGGGUGAAGCCUGCGGCUCAAUUGGAGUCAACUCCGGGAACCUUACCAGGUGCGACAGCAGAAUGAGGGCCAAGCUGACGACUUUGCCCGACACGCUGAGAGGUGGCGCAUGGCCGUCGCCAGCUCGUGCCGUGAGGUGUCUGGUUAAGUCCAGGAACGAGCGAGACCCUUACCUUUAGUUGCUACCGCGAAAGCGGGCACACUAGAGGGACCGCCACCGUUAAGGUGGAGGAAGGAGGGGGCAACGGCAGGUCAGCAUGCCCCGAAUCACCUGGGCCGCACGCGGGCUGCAAUGGUGGAGACAAUGGGAUCCGAACCCGAAAGGGGGAGGUAAUCCUUGAAACUCCACCGUAGUUGGGAUCGAGGGCUGCAACCCGCCCUCGUGAACCUGGAAUCCCCAGUAAUCGCGUGUCAUCAUCGCGCGGUGAACAAGUCCCCGCUCCUU